This 76-nucleotide transfer RNA is filed under the name Zetaproteobacteria bacterium. RNAcentral's name for it is "tRNA-Thr". It matches the Rfam family "tRNA". From Rfam's summary of the family: Transfer RNA (tRNA) molecules are approximately 80 nucleotides in length. Lineage: Bacteria; Pseudomonadati; Pseudomonadota; Candidatius Mariprofundia. The record is from RNAcentral.
GCCGGUGUAGCUCAGUUGGUAGAGCACCUCACUUGUAAUGAGGGGGCCACGGGUUCAAAUCCUGUCACCGGCUCCA